Long non-coding RNA from Morone saxatilis (striped sea-bass), 387 nucleotides. RefSeq lists it as uncharacterized. The record is from RefSeq and is a predicted model, not a curated record. NCBI's taxonomy places the organism in Eukaryota, Metazoa, Chordata, Actinopteri, Moronidae. The transcript has 3 exons.
UCCAUGAAAUAUGGAGACGUCUGCAGGAGCUGCUUAAGGUCAUCUGAGGUUUUGUCUUUCACUGUUUUACUGUGUUUCUGUGGAAAAAGGCCCAGAGUCUGAGCCAGGGAGACUCCUACUGGCUGGGGCUGAGGAGCGGUGGUGGUGACGGUAGCUGGCAGUGGAGCGAUGGCUCCCCGGUGGAGAAGGGACCAGAGUUUCGGCUACAUGAGCCUGACAACACAGACAGCAGGGAGCUGUGUGGUCGAAUCACCCCAGGAGACGACUACAGGAGGAGCUGGUACAUCUCCAGAUGUUCCAACCAGCUGAGGAGGAUCUGUGAGAGGAGACAAGCUACUCUACAGUGAGGGGAGGGGAGGAGAGAGGAGGAGAGAGGAGGGGAGAUGA